UCAUAUGUGCUUGGUGUUCUUCUUUUCAUCAUCCAAAGUGCCCCAAAAAUGAUGAACAAACCCUAAUCCUGGCAAAAGUCUCAAAAGUCAAAACCAGUUCUCGUCUCCCUCUCCCUACUCGCCACACCCUUUCUUGUUGCUUCCUAGUCCAGUCUCCGCUGCGUGCUCCCCUGCCUCGCACUGUCCCACCUUUGCCGCCCUGCCUCACGCUGUUGUCACCGCCUUGCCUCGCACCGUCGCCUAGUCUGUGGGUGUUGCCGAUUGGAAGUUGCUAGCGUCGCCGUUGCUGCUGCUCUCUUCUCUGCUGUGGCGCCGCCGGUUUAAAGUAAUGUAGGUUGUUCAAUUAGAAACCAACAACAAAGUGAAGGGAAAAAAAUAUAUCAGAAGAUGAUCAAGAAUUAGAACCAGGAACAGAUGAAGAGAUUGAAGACUUAACUAUUAGGAUUCAGAAUGUUGGAACAGAAGUUGUUGAAGCAAAGGCUGGUGCCGGAUCUGCUAUUCUGUCUAUGGCAUAUGCCGCUGCUAGAUUCGUUGAGUCGUCUCUUCGUGUGCUCGAUGGAUAUGGGGACGUGUGUGCUCGAUGGAGAUGGGGACGUGUACGAGUGCUCCUUUGUACAAUCAGAGUUGAGGCUUUGAUUCCAUCUGAUCUCCAAGGGUUGACUGAAUACGAACAGAAGGCUUUGGAAGCGCUUUAGCCAGAACUUAAGAUCAGCUUCGAAAAGGGGAUUUCUUUUGCUCGGAAGCAAACGGUUGCUGCUUAAACCGUCUAUUUAUCAAAGCAUUUAUUCUCCGUUGUCCCUUGGAAUAGAAAAUCAAAAGGUUGUUUCUCAAGUUAUUAUGGGUUUCUUUAAUUUCUUUGAGCAUAAAUACUUCUUAGAGAAGUUAGGUUGAGGAUUUUAUUGUAGGAUCAUACUGCAUUUAGGACUUGGGAUGCCAAAUUUUCCAAACUAUCAAUUCUGCUUCCAGCUUUAUUGGUAGAUAGGGAGUGAGUUUCAUUCCUGUUACUUGAAUUGUGCUCUAGUGUGUUUGUCAGAAAUAUCAAAAUAUAUUAUUGUUAUCAUGUAUAACUGUUACACUUGAAUCUUUAAUUUCUCAUUGAGUUUUUGAAUAACAAGGCUGGGCCUGGGACAUGUUUCAAUAA
Long non-coding RNA from Arachis ipaensis, 1141 nucleotides. RefSeq lists it as uncharacterized. The record is from RefSeq and is a predicted model, not a curated record. Lineage: Eukaryota; Viridiplantae; Streptophyta; Magnoliopsida; Fabales; Fabaceae.